Molecule: long non-coding RNA, 442 nt
Filed under: Mytilus galloprovincialis (Mediterranean mussel)
Lineage: Eukaryota; Metazoa; Mollusca; Bivalvia; Mytilida; Mytilidae
Source: RNAcentral
AUCGCAACUCCUCUCAAACCACACAACAGAAUUUCACGAAACCUUUUCAGAUAAUAAUAAGGACAUACUAUGUAGUUGUGCAUAUCGACGGGAAAUUGCGAUUUAAUUUUUUUUCUAGGAGUUAUGCCCCUUUGAACUUAUUUACUUUAAUGUACUACUGCAACAGUUUGUCAUCGCAACUCCUCUCAAACCACACAACAGAAUUUCAUGAAACUUUGUAGAUAAUAAGGACAUACUAUGUAGAUGUGCAUAUCAACAGGAAAUUACGGUUCAAUUUUUUUUCUAGGAGUUAUGCCCCUUUGAACUUAUUUGCUUCAAUGUACUUCUGCAACAGUUUGUCAUCUCAACUCCUCUGAAAACACACAACAGAAUUUCAUGAAAUUUUGUAGAUAAUAAGGACAUACUAUGUAUAUUGACAGGAAAUUAUUAUUCAAUAUUUUUU